AUAAAAGUCUUACUCUCUUUAUCACUUUUUUAUUUUCUUUCUUUCAAUUUUUUACCACUUUCUUUUACUCUAUUAUUUACCAAUCAAACCCUAUGGCUCCGAUUGUACUACAAGAAAUAUGAAUAUUGGUAGCAGUUAACCGUAGCACGAAUUCACGAAGUGAUACUAAUACAGUCAAAAUUGGAUCAUAAUUCACUAAAUUCGUGCUAGCAAAGAUUUUCAUUAAGCUGAGACCCAAAAAUGACUUUUAUAGCGGGAUAUUUAUGUUGGAGCCAAAACACUUACCGAAAUUUUCUGAUUUUGGCGGAUCUACACUUUUUUUUUUUGCUAAAGUCAUUUUUUCAUUCAUCACCCACCAAAAAAAAAAAAUUAUUCUCAUCAAUCUCUCAUCGAUCUUCUGUUCUUUCUAUUUUCAGAUCUCAUCUCCCCUCUUUUCUUAAUCAUCUGUCUCUCUAUCUUACUCUCCUAACCUCACUCA
Molecule: long non-coding RNA, 478 nt
Filed under: Brassica napus (rape)
Lineage: Eukaryota; Viridiplantae; Streptophyta; Magnoliopsida; Brassicales; Brassicaceae
Description: long non-coding RNA (BNAP_LNC011309)
Source: RNAcentral